UAUAGUGAAAACAUUAUUCAA
This 21-nucleotide non-coding RNA is filed under the name Caenorhabditis elegans. The record is from RNAcentral. Lineage: Eukaryota; Metazoa; Nematoda; Chromadorea; Rhabditida; Rhabditidae.